RNAcentral lists this non-coding RNA (23 nucleotides) under Cricetulus griseus (Chinese hamster). The record is from RNAcentral. Lineage: Eukaryota; Metazoa; Chordata; Mammalia; Rodentia; Cricetidae.
UAGGGACCAAAGACUGAUUUGUU